RNAcentral lists this ribosomal RNA (498 nucleotides) under uncultured bacterium. Its description in RNAcentral is "partial 16S ribosomal RNA". It matches the Rfam family "Bacterial small subunit ribosomal RNA", at positions 28 to 523 of the family's 1533-position model. The record is from RNAcentral.
GACGAAUGCUGGCGGCGUGCCUAACACAUGCAAGUCGAGCGGAGUCAGUAAGAAGAAGUUUUCGGAUGGAAUCUUAUUGAUUUAGCGGCGGACGGGUGAGUAACGCGUGAGCGACCAACCUUGCACAGGGGGAUAACGGACCGAAAGGUUCACUAAUACCGCAUAAGACCACGGUGUUGCAUGACACAGAGGUCAAAGGAGCAAUCCGGUGCAAGACGGGCUCGCGUCCGAUUAGGUAGUUGGAGGGGUAACGGCCCACCAAGCCUAUGAUCGGUAGCCGACCGGAGAGGGUGAUCGGCCACAUUGGAACUGAGAUACGGUCCAAACUCCUACGGGAGGCAGCAGUGGGGAAUAUUGGGCAAUGGGGGAAACCCUGACCCAGCAACGCCGCGUGAAGGAAGAAGGUUUUCGGAUUGUAAACUUCUGUCCUUGGUGAAGAGAAGAAGACGGUAGCCAAGGAGGAAGCCCCGGCUAACUACGUGCCAGCAGCCGCAGUAA